GUAAGUCCCGCCGUGUGGGCUGGCCAUCCAAGGUAAAUCUCCCCAUAGGGGAGUGCCAGCCCAUUCCCGCAAGGGAAGAUGGCGGGGUAGGAGGA
RNAcentral lists this non-coding RNA (95 nucleotides) under unclassified sequences. Its description in RNAcentral is "DUF1874 RNA". It matches the Rfam family "DUF1874 RNA". Rfam says of the family: Hot springs metagenome only. Environment (Bison Hot Springs, Yellowstone) The record is from RNAcentral.